RNAcentral lists this ribosomal RNA (274 nucleotides) under uncultured bacterium. RNAcentral's name for it is "partial 16S ribosomal RNA". It matches the Rfam family "Bacterial small subunit ribosomal RNA", at positions 523 to 796 of the family's 1533-position model. The record is from RNAcentral.
AUACGGAGGGUGCAAGCGUUAUCCGGAAUCAUUGGGUUUAAAGGGUCCGUAGGCGGAUUGGUGAGUCAGUGGUGAAAGUCUGCAGCUUAACUGUAGAAUUGCCAUUGAUACUGCUAGUCUUGAAUUACUGUGAAGUGAUUAGAAUGUGUAGUGUAGCGGUGAAAUGCAUAGAUAUUACACAGAAUACCAAUUGCGAAGGCAGAUCACUAACAGUAUAUUGACGCUGAGGGACGAAAGCGUGGGGAGCGAACAGGAUUAGAAACCCUAGUAGUCC